AAUCAACGCUGGCGGCGUGCCUAACACAUGCAAGUCGAACGCGAAAGUCCCGCAAGGGAUCAGUAGAGUGGCAAACGGGUGAGUAACACGUGGGUGACCUGCCUUCGAGUGGGGGAUAACGUCCCGAAAGGGACGCUAAUACCGCAUGACAUCCUGCCUUUGAAGAGGCGGAGAUCAAAGCUGGGGAUCGCAAGACCCUAGCGCUUGAAGAGGGGCCCGCGUCCGAUUAGCAGUUGGUGGGGUAAGUGGCUCACCAAGGCGACGAUCGGUAGCCGGCCUGAGGAGGCGGACGGCCACACUGGGACUGAGACACGG
Molecule: ribosomal RNA, 315 nt
Filed under: uncultured bacterium
Lineage: Bacteria
Description: bacterial SSU rRNA
Rfam family: Bacterial small subunit ribosomal RNA
Source: RNAcentral